Molecule: long non-coding RNA, 85 nt
Organism: Xenia sp. Carnegie-2017
Lineage: Eukaryota; Metazoa; Cnidaria; Anthozoa; Malacalcyonacea; Xeniidae
Exons: 3
Source: RefSeq, a predicted model, not a curated record
GCAGAGUAGCAUGGGGACGAUAUGAAUGAGAAUGAUCAUGGUUAUAUUGUUUUCGACAAUCAUAUAAAAAGUAAACAUAAUGUAA